ACGAACGCUGGCGGCAGGCUUAACACAUGCAAGUCGAGCGCCCCGCAAGGGGAGCGGCAGACGGGUGAGUAACGCGUGGGAAUCUACCCAUCUCUACGGAACAACCCAGGGAAACUUGGACUAAUACCGUAUACGCCCUUCGGGGGAAAGAUUUAUCGGAGAUGGAUGAGCCCGCGUUGGAUUAGCUAGUUGGUGGGGUAAAGGCCUACCAAGGCGACGAUCCAUAGCUGGUCUGAGAGGAUGAUCAGCCACACUGGGACUGAGACACGGCCCAGACUCCUACGGGAGGCAGCAGUGGGGAAUAUUGGACAAUGGGCGAAAGCCUGAUCCAGCCAUGCCGCGUGAGUGAUGAAGGCCCUAGGGUUGUAAAGCUCUUUCGGUGGUGACGAUGAUGACGGUAACCACAGAAGAAGCCCCGGCUAACUCCGU
This 429-nucleotide ribosomal RNA is filed under the name uncultured bacterium. Its description in RNAcentral is "bacterial SSU rRNA". It matches the Rfam family "Bacterial small subunit ribosomal RNA", at positions 29 to 506 of the family's 1533-position model. The record is from RNAcentral.